UUUAAAAUGACCAAUGUGUUAUCAAUAUAGGCUACCCAUCCUUAUCAUAUAGGCUACCCAUCCUCUCUUCGUUUCUAACCAUUUUGCAGUGCGAAGAGAGAGACCCAGGCGCAGGCCAGGCGGCGCGUGUCGCUCGGUCUGAAUUGCACCGUAAUCGCCAAAACCUUGGCCUAAUUUGCAGCUAAUAGAUCUCGAGCGAGGGAGUCGGGAAGAAACCAGUGGCUUUGGAGGGAUCGGAAAUUAAGGGACUAGAAGAAGGAUGUGAUUCCUAUUAUUCUCCCCCUCCCCCUCCUGCACACGACCAUGUGUCUCCUGGCUGGGCCUUUGGGGACGCGGCCCCUGGCCCUCCGUGGCCUGUGUUCCUGUUGUUCGCUUCUCUCCCAGCGGACCACUGUGUCUGGGGCGCCGCGCCCUCCGGUGCGCUCAGACCUCGCGCCCUCCGACCGGCUUCUCCCAGUCCCCGGGAGGAGGCGCUGUGCCCGGGCUGGCCUCUGGUCCCUCCCAGCCGAUGUCCUGGAGCCCCCAUUCACAAAACCCCUCCUGGAAGAGGACACACACCCACCCACCCACACACACACACACACACCCCACACACGCACUACGAGAAGGGGAGUUUGAUCUUGUCUCAUUGGCGUCUCGGGUCUGAAAGGAAAAUCGUUUGGGUAAACAGCCAAGCUUCCAGGCUUAACGCCCGGCUCCCGCCCCCGCCCCUCCAUCCCCUCCUGCCUCCCCCACUCGCCUUCAACCCCACCCGCCACCCACACUCGGCUCCGCAGCCGGGCCCCGAGCGAGCUCCGCGAGUCCUGGCGAGAGCCGAGGGCUCCCCGGGUUCAAAGGGCCGCAGCCCCGAGGGAACGCCCUCCUUGCUGUGCCCCGGGGGGCAGAAGCGGACUGCUGGGCGGUGGGACCGGCCUGGGCCACGCUCCGCGCCCCUCCCAGCCUUCCCGCCCUUAGCCGGGAAAGGACGCUGAGAUGACAUCACCACAGAGACCCGCGGCCUCCCCGCCCCCGGCCCCGGGACCCCGGAGCGGAGAUUGACAGGUGUCGCUCGUUAGGACAAUGCCUUCCAGGAACAGAUGUGGACUUGGGCUGUCCACCCCCACCCACUCUUGCUGAGGUGUCUCACUACUGCCCAGACAUGUGAAUUCAUGUGAGAGCUGGUAUGAGUUGUGGUCACAGGACAAAGGAGGCUAACCGGGCAUGAUUCUCAACUUUGGCUUCAAUCAUGCCAUUUUCUACCAACUAAGCCUCUAGAGUCAAACUUGAAGAACUAUCACGUGGAACUCUUGAAGAAUGGACUUUCUUUCCACAGUGAAUACUUCAUUGAUUUUCGCUGGUUCCCUGAAUAAAGCAGCAACAAACCCACCACCUAUUUACUGAAGGCUCUGCUUCAGCCACUAUGUCAAAUGUGUUACACUCUUUAACUAACUUAAAUAUUGUCUAUAACCCUUUGGGUGGUGUUGUUUCUGUUUCAUGGAUGAAGAUGAAGAUAUUGACACUUCGAGGUUACAAAACUAUCACCAUCAUUAACAGCAACAAUGGUGCUUAGCUCUGAUUGAGAACUUACUCUGUUCCUAAAACAUGGAAAGCAUGUCACAAAUCUUCAAACAACUGGGUAAGCAUGUCACAAAUCUGCAAACAAGUUUGUAAAAUAAAGACUAUUAACAUUCCCAUUUUACAGAUGAAGAAACUGAGGCCUAGAGAAUUAAUGAUGUGCCCCAUGUCACAGAAUGCAGUAUAGAGGUGGAGGAGGAGUUAGCUUUACUCCAAAGUCUUUUAUCUUCAUUGCUAUAAUUUCUGGCAGUGUAGCAGAGUAAAAAUGAACUAAAAAUUAAUGUCAGGUUUAUACAAAUUAUUUUAUUAAGAAAAGAGGCCAAGUGUGGUGGCUCAUGCCUAUAAUCCCACCACUUGGGGAGGUUGAAGUGGGUGGAUCACUUGAGGUCAGGAGUUCAAGACCAGCCUAGCCAACAUGGUGAAACCCCGUUUCUACUGAAAAUACAAAAAUUAUCCAGGUGUGUUAGUGCACAACUGUAAUCCCAGCUACUCGGGAGGCUGAGGUAGGAGAAUCGCUUGAACCGGGGAGGCAGAGGUUGCAGUGAGCCGAGAUAGCGCCACUGCACGCCAGCCUGGGUGACGAGCAAAAACUCCAUCUCAAAAAAAAAAAAAGAAGAAGAGAAGAAAAAUGUUAGGACAAAGGAGAAGAACUCUAAAAUCUUAUGACUGGAAGCUUAUAAAUUAUAAGUAUUGAAAAAUUAAACAUUCCUAAUAACUACAGAUAUCCAUAAAAAGUUGCCCAAAAUUAAGGGCAAAUUUCUUCAGUGUCAGCAAUACUGACAGCAUUAGUUUCAUGGUCACAGAGAUUUUUGUUAUUAUUGUUAACAUAUUCCAAAAUUUAACACAAAUUUAAUCCAUGUGAAAGUAGAGCUUAGACAAUAAAAGAUAUCAGACCUUGGGGUAUUACAAUGACUUUUUAAAAAAGCUUAUUAUCAUAUAUUUCAUUAUAAUAACAGGACGCCAAAACCAUUAGCAUGAAUAAUAACCUGAGAUUGUAAGGAUUAUGUGUAAAUGUGAAAGAAGAGAUAAUUAUGUUUAUAUAUCUAAUGGUCACCCUUAGGUAUUAUGUGAUAACAUGUGGCCUUAUCCACUGAGGACAAGAGGGCCAUUUCCUACCUUGGAUUAGGCAUUCCCAGGGCGAUUCUUACAGUUACCUCUUCUUUCUGUUCAGUAUUUAAGCACUGUUAGUUCAUCUGAGGGAAUGAAAAUAAAGAUACUUUCUUCAAGAAAAAUGAAUGAAAAUAUUGCUGAUUUAACCAUGUGCGAAAAACCUCAUUUAAUUUUAUUUGUUGAGAUUGAUAUGAGCAUUUUAAGGGAAACUAAGUGACUUUCACAAACUUUUAUUUGUGCACUUAGAGCACAAUGUGGAUAAGCAAAAGUUGGGCUCCAGGAGAGGUGCAAUUGCAUAUGGCGUCACUCAGAACCAAGGGGCUUCAGCCCCUUUAUGUUCUAUGGACCUGCAUCAAUCUUUCCACUUCCGACGUUUCCACUUCUCCCUCCUCCCCACUGCCAGCACUCACACGUGUGCACAGUCAUCACGGGAGGGAGGGAAGUUUAUUCUCCAUAAACAAUUUGCUCCUUGGCCACUCUGAAUCUGCCAACCAGGUUGCCAAUUCUGAUGUAGACACCUGUCCAUUUGGAACAGGAAUGAAAACAGCCACUCAUUUUCUAGAAACCAUCAAACACCCUGUCAGUGAACAACAGCUCUCCAUUAACUGCAAUCUGGGCAAGACAUGAACGGGUCACUUCGAUAGACAAUUACUGAUCCUCCAAGCCCUUCAGCUUUCUUCAAAUUGAUGAAAGUUUCUGAUCCCUUCCCUACAAUGGAGGGGUAUCUUUUAAUGACGGUGAUAAUAAACUGCUAAAACUUUAUUUUUUUGUUAUGCAAGUGGGUUCUUAAAACAAUACUAUCAAGAACUUGCUAAUGAGGGUACACGGCCAAUCCAUAUUUUAAGAUGGCUUCCCAAAUGACAUUUUCAUUGUUCUGAUAACAACAAAAAUGAUUUCCAACCACA
This 3569-nucleotide long non-coding RNA is filed under the name Homo sapiens (human). RNAcentral describes it as "HSALNT0383513". Lineage: Eukaryota; Metazoa; Chordata; Mammalia; Primates; Hominidae. The record is from RNAcentral.